GGGCCCGCACAAGCGGUGGAGUAUGUGGUUUAAUUCGAUGCAACGCGAAGAACCUUACCAGGGUUUGACAUCCUGCGAAUCUCUUGGAAACGAGAGAGUGCCUUCGGGAACGCAGUGACAGGUGGUGCAUGGCUGUCGUCAGCUCGUGUCGUGAGAUGUUGGGUUAAGUCCCGCAACGAGCGCAACCCACGUCUUUAGUUGCCAGCAUUAAGUUGGGCACUCUGAAAGAACUGCCAGUGAUAAGCUGGAGGAAGGUGGGGAUGACGUCAAGUCCUCAUGGCCCUUACGUGUUGGGCUACACACGUGCUACAAUGGCGAUGACAGUGGGCAGCGACCCCGCAAGGGUGAGCUAA
This 353-nucleotide ribosomal RNA is filed under the name uncultured bacterium. RNAcentral describes it as "bacterial SSU rRNA". It matches the Rfam family "Bacterial small subunit ribosomal RNA", at positions 917 to 1271 of the family's 1533-position model. The record is from RNAcentral.